AAGUUUUUAUAUACUACUGCUAAUAGUAUUUUAAAGAUUUUUUCUCAGCUUU
This 52-nucleotide transfer RNA is filed under the name Benedenia seriolae. Its description in RNAcentral is "tRNA-Ser". Lineage: Eukaryota; Metazoa; Platyhelminthes; Monogenea; Capsalidea; Capsalidae. The record is from RNAcentral.